GGCGGUCGCGGGAGCGGUCCACCGGCGUCGCAGCUGGGGAAACCGAGGCUCGGCGGUCGCGGGAGCGGCCCACCCGGCGUCGCAGCUGGGGAAACCGAGGCUCGGCGGUCGCGGGAGCGGCCCACCCGGCGUCGCAGCUGGGGAAACCGAGGCUCGGCGGUCGCGGGAGCGGCCCAGACCGGGGAUUGGACUCGGGAAUCCUUUCUGUUGCCCCGGCUCUGGGCUCCGAGCCGGUGCGGGGAGGCAGGCGGGCCGGGCAGGGGUGAGGUGGACGGAGCUGGACUGGGGGAAGCUUGGAGGUCAGUUCCCCCUGCCUCACCCACAUCUCCAGUCCUUUCUGGGAACAGACCAGAAAGCAGAGUAAGCGGAGGGGACCGCCACCGCUGGGCGGGGGAUGGGGCUGGAAGGGAGGGAGUGGAGUGGACAAUUUUGUAGGAAUGAGGAUUUCCUCCAUGUGCUGGGGGAGGGAUAUUUCCAAACCUGCAAUCCUACUGCCUCUGCCGUUCCCUGUUAAAACGGACACGUGUUCAUUCUUUUGUCCACUUUACCUCUGCAAACAUCCCAAGGCCCUGUAAGUGACAGUCUGUGGCCCCAGAAUCGACCUGGAUGUGUCACUGUCCUUAAGUAACCCCCUGCCCAAAUCAGUGUAGCAAAGGGCCGUGUUUAUUGUGGCACUGUUCACAAAAGUUGAGACAUCGGAGUCAGCCUCGUGUCCAUCAGCAGAGGAAUGGAUAAGGAAAAUGUGGUACAUACACAACAGAAUACUAUUCAGCCAUGAAAAAGAAUGAGAUCCUGUCACUCCCAGCGACAUGGUUGAGCCUGGAGGACAUCACGUUAAGCAUAGCCAACCUCUUCUGCCCGGGAGCAGAACAACCCCGCUGACUCUACCUAGAAGGGGCCUCAUUUCACCAGCAGGAAAUGGCUGACAAGGUGCUUCAAAACAAGACAACAACAAAAAACCCCAAAACAACUCAAAACAUCUUUCUAAGAAAGAUGAACUAUGGCAGACUGUGCCCUAGUCAAUAGGAAGAUGAUAGAGAAAUGAUGACAAUCGAUUUGGGGUGGAAUAUAUGGUAAAGAUGCUCAAACGUACCUAAAUUUCUUUUAGAAAUGCUGAUUCCUGGGCACAGACUCCAGAGAUUCUGAUUUAGCAGGUGUGGACCAUAGUCUAGGAAUGUGCAUUCGUAAUAAGCUUGGCAAAACCGCUGAUUCAUGCAGUUCAACUGCUGAGACCUCUCCCAGAGCCUGUUCCUAAACAUCCCUUUCAGGCCCUCACUCAGCCUGGAAGGUUCCACCUGGCUUAGCUCCCUACAACCAGAAAGACCCUGUGUAUAAAGUGCUGGGCGUGAUCACAGGUGGGGCCCGAGUGAAGGCUUCACGGGAACAAGGAGGGCUGGGCUCAGCUUCCCAGGCGUGUUUCUGCCGCAGGGCCUUUGCACUUGAUGUUUCCUCUCCUUGGAAUAAACAACCACCAACCCUAACAACCAACAGAAAAGAGCAAAUAAAAACAAUCCAUGAGAACAAACGCUCAUCAGAACAAAAUGAAACCCCAAGGCUCUGUCCCUCUGUCCCCUCUAACCACUUGCCAUGAUUUGGAUAUUUGACCCUCCACAUCUCAUGUUGAAACGUGAACCCUGGUGUUAAAGGUGGGGCUGUCUCGAGGUAACGAGUGAGUCUCGCUCUGUCAGUCCCUGUGAGAGCUGGCUGUUGAAUCUGACACCUCCUCUCUCUUCCUCUCUCCCCGUGUGAUUUCUGCAUGUACCGGCCGCCUGCACCUUCCGUCGUGAGUGGAGGAGCCUGAGCCCCACCAGAAGCAGAUGCUGGUGCCAUGAUUUUGCACAGCCUGCAGUGAGCCCACUCCGACCUGGACCUGAGUCACAAACAUCCUGGAGAAGUUUUCAUUUGCAUCAAGGCUUAGUCCCACUGCAGAGCACACCUGAUCUCUGAACAGUCCCGUGUCAUCUGCCUGGCUGUCCUGGGGCCUUCCUGGAUGUGGAUAUCAGAGACAGGAUGGAGCCCCUCUGCUGGGGACCUGGGAACUAUUAGUAGCAGUCUCUGUGGGGUAACACAGUUGUCUCUGCUGGACAACUUCAUAAAUUCUACUUCCGGGCAUCUG
Molecule: non-coding RNA, 2116 nt
Organism: Microcebus murinus (gray mouse lemur)
Lineage: Eukaryota; Metazoa; Chordata; Mammalia; Primates; Cheirogaleidae
Source: RefSeq, a predicted model, not a curated record